Molecule: ribosomal RNA, 352 nt
Filed under: uncultured bacterium
Lineage: Bacteria
Description: bacterial SSU rRNA
Rfam family: Bacterial small subunit ribosomal RNA
Source: RNAcentral
GAACGCGAAGAACCUUACCAGGGCUUUGACAUACAAGUGGUAGGGAUCCGAAAGGUGACCGACCCUUCGGGGAGCUUGCUACAGGUGUUGCAUGGCUGUCGUCAGCUCGUGUCGUGAGAUGUUCGGUUAAGUCCGCUAACGAGGCGCAACCCUCACUGUGUGUUAUACGGUUUCGCACCGGGACUGGCCGGUCCUAAACCGGAGGAAGGUGGGGAUGACGUCAAGUCAGCUUGGCCUUAUAUCCUGGGCUACACACACGCUACAAUGGUCAGUACAAUGGGUAGCGAAGCCGCGAGGCGGAGCCAAUCCUCCAAAGCUGGCCUCAGUUCAGAUUGCAGGCUGCAACCCGCCU